UACGGGGGGGGCAAGCGUUGUUCGGAAUUACUGGGCGUAAAGGGUUCGUAGGUGGCCAACUGAGUCAGACGUGAAAUCCCUCAGCUCAACUGGGGAACUGCGUCUGAUACUGGUUGGCUUGAGUGCAGGAGAGGAAUGCGGAAUUCCAGGUGUAGCGGUGAAAUGCGUAGAGAUGUGGAGGAACACCAGUGGCGAAGGCGGCUUUUUGGUCUGUAACUGACGCUGAGGCGCGAAAGCGUGGGUAGCAAACAGG
This 253-nucleotide ribosomal RNA is filed under the name uncultured bacterium. RNAcentral's name for it is "partial 16S ribosomal RNA". It matches the Rfam family "Bacterial small subunit ribosomal RNA", at positions 524 to 776 of the family's 1533-position model. The record is from RNAcentral.